GAUGAACGCUGGCGGCGUGCCUAAUACAUGCAAGUCGAGCGAACGGACGAGAAGCUUUCUUCUCUGAUGUAAGCGGCGGACGGGUGAGUAACACGUGGAUAACCUACCUAUAAGACUGGGAUAACUUCGGGAAACCUGAGCUAAGACCGGAUGAUAUUUUGAACUUCAUGGUUCAAAAGUGAAAGAAGGUCUUUCUUUCACUUAUAGAUGGAUCCGCGCUGCAUUAGCUAGUUGGUAAGGUAACGGCUUACCAAGGCAACGAUGCAUAGCCGACCUGAGAGCGUGAUCGACCACACUGGAACUGAGACACGGCCCAGACUCCUACGGGAGGCAGCAGUAGGGAAUCUUCCGCAAUGGGCGAAAGCCUGACGGAGCAACGCCGCGUGAGUGAUGAAGGUCUUCGGAUCGUAAAACUAUGUUAUUAGGGAAGAACAUAUGUGUAAGUAACUGUGCACAUCUUGACGGUACCUAAUCAGAAAGCCACGGCUAACUACGUG
This 497-nucleotide ribosomal RNA is filed under the name uncultured bacterium. RNAcentral describes it as "partial 16S ribosomal RNA". It matches the Rfam family "Bacterial small subunit ribosomal RNA", at positions 28 to 507 of the family's 1533-position model. The record is from RNAcentral.